UACGGGGGGGGCAAGCGUUGUUCGGAAUUACUGGGCGUAAAGGGCUUGUAGGUGGCCAACUAAGUCAGACGUGAAAUCCCUCGGCUUAACCGGGGAACUGCGUCUGGUACUGGAUGGCUGGAGUGUGGGAGAGGGAUGCGGAAUUCCAGGUGUAGCGGUGAAAUGCGUAGAUAUCUGGAGGAACACCGGUGGCGAAGGCGGCAUCCUGGACCAUUACUGACACUGAAAAGCGAAAGCCAGGGGAGCAAACGGG
RNAcentral lists this ribosomal RNA (253 nucleotides) under uncultured bacterium. RNAcentral's name for it is "partial 16S ribosomal RNA". It matches the Rfam family "Bacterial small subunit ribosomal RNA", at positions 524 to 776 of the family's 1533-position model. The record is from RNAcentral.